AUUGAACGCUGGCGGCAGGCCUAACACAUGCAAGUCGAACGAGUGGCGGACGGGUGAGUAAUGUCUGGGAAACUGCCUGAUGGAGGGGGAUAACUACUGGAAACGGUAGCUAAUACCGCAUACCAUCGGAUGUGCCCAGAUGGGAUUGGCUAGUAGGUGGUGUAAAGGCUCACCUAGGCGACGAUCCCUAGCUGGUCUGAGAGGAUGACCAGCAACACUGGAACUGAGACACGGUCAAGACGACUACGGGAGGCAGCAGUGGGGAAUAUUGCACAAUGGGCGCAAGCCUGAUGCAGACAUGCCGCGUGUAGGAAGAAGGCCUUCGGGUUGUAAAGUACGUUCAGCGGGGAGGCGGUACCCGCAGAAGAAGCACCGGCUAACUCCGUGCCAGCAGCCGCGGUAAUUC
This 406-nucleotide ribosomal RNA is filed under the name uncultured bacterium. Its description in RNAcentral is "partial 16S ribosomal RNA". It matches the Rfam family "Bacterial small subunit ribosomal RNA", at positions 29 to 526 of the family's 1533-position model. The record is from RNAcentral.